Molecule: ribosomal RNA, 568 nt
Filed under: Sphaenorhynchus cammaeus
Lineage: Eukaryota; Metazoa; Chordata; Amphibia; Anura; Hylidae
Description: partial 16S ribosomal RNA
Rfam family: Bacterial large subunit ribosomal RNA
Source: RNAcentral
CGCCUCUUGAUACUAUAUAAGAGGUCCAGCCUGCCCAGUGACUCUGUUCAACGGCCGCGGUAUCCUAACCGUGCGAAGGUAGCGUAAUCACUUGUUCUUUAAAUGAGGACUAGUAUGAAUGGCACCACGAGGGUUCUACUGUCUCCCUUUUUUAAUCAGUGAAACUAAUCUUCCCGUGAAGAAGCGGGGAUAAACUUAUAAGACGAGAAGACCCUAUGGAGCUUUAAACUAUAUAUCAAUUGCUCACUUUUUCUACUAUUUCAGAAUUUGUACCCUUUAUUCUAGCUUUUUGAUAAUAAGUUUUAGGUUGGGGUGACCGCGGAGUAAAAAAUAACCUCCAUAUUGAAAGAAAUCUUUUCUGAGCAAAAAACUACAAUUUUAUGCACCAAAAUACUGACAUUAAUUGACCCAAUAAUUUGAUCAACGAACCAAGUUACCCUAGGGAUAACAGCGCAAUCUACUUCAAGAGCCCCUAUCGACAAGUAGGUUUACGACCUCGAUGUUGGAUCAGGGUGUCCUAGUGGUGCAGCCGCUACUAAAGGUUCGUUUGUUCAACGAUUAAAACCCU